GACGAACGCUGGCGGCGUGCUUAACACAUGCAAGUCGAACGGAAAGGCCCCUUUGGGGGUACUCGAGUGGCGAACGGGUGAGUAACACGUGAGUAACCUGCCCUUGACUUCGGGAUAACUUCAGGAAACUGGGGCUAAUACCGGAUAGGAAUCCUUGCUGCAUGGUGGGGGUUGGAAAGCUUCGGCGGUUUUGGAUGGACUCGCGGCUUAUCAGCUUGUUGGUGGGGUAGUGGCUUACCAAGGCUUUGACGGGUAGCCGGCCUGAGAGGGCGACCGGCCACAUUGGGACUGAGAGACGGCCCAGACUCCUACGGGAGGCAGCAGUGGGGAAUAUUGCACAAUGGGCGGAGGCCUGAUGCAGCAACGCCGCGUGCGGGAUGACGGCCUUCGGGUUGUAAACCGCUUUCAGCAGGGGCGAAGCUUGUGGUGACGGUACCUGCAGAAGAAGCACCGGCUAACUACGUG
RNAcentral lists this ribosomal RNA (465 nucleotides) under uncultured bacterium. RNAcentral's name for it is "partial 16S ribosomal RNA". It matches the Rfam family "Bacterial small subunit ribosomal RNA", at positions 28 to 507 of the family's 1533-position model. The record is from RNAcentral.